GUUAUUUUGGCAGAAUAGUGCAAUGGAUUUAGAAUCUAUUUAUGUAAAUAAAUUUACAGAUAAUA
Molecule: transfer RNA, 65 nt
Filed under: Curculionoidea sp. 2 KM-2015
Lineage: Eukaryota; Metazoa; Arthropoda; Insecta; Coleoptera
Also listed under: 1 other name
Description: tRNA-Leu
Rfam family: tRNA
About the family: Transfer RNA (tRNA) molecules are approximately 80 nucleotides in length.
Source: RNAcentral